GACAGUGGUGUAGUGGUCUGAAUGUUGGACUACUACUCUUGAGACCAGGGUUCGAUUCCCAGCUUGACC
RNAcentral lists this transfer RNA (69 nucleotides) under Phrynosoma platyrhinos (Desert horned lizard). Its description in RNAcentral is "tRNA-OTHER". Lineage: Eukaryota; Metazoa; Chordata; Lepidosauria; Squamata; Phrynosomatidae. The record is from RNAcentral.